This 203-nucleotide ribosomal RNA is filed under the name uncultured bacterium. Its description in RNAcentral is "partial 16S ribosomal RNA". It matches the Rfam family "Bacterial small subunit ribosomal RNA", at positions 328 to 538 of the family's 1533-position model. The record is from RNAcentral.
ACGCUCGACACCUACGGGAGGCAGCAGUCGGGAAUAUUGCGCAAUGGAGGAAACUCUGACGCAGUGACGCCGCGUAUGGGAAGAAGGUUUUCGGAUUGUAAACCAUUUUAGACAAGGAAGAAACAAGACAGUACUUGUAGAAUGAGCUCCGGCUAACUACGUGCCGGCAGCCGCGGUAAUCUGAGGCGGGCGUGGACGAAGGC